Monodelphis domestica (gray short-tailed opossum) is the source of this 233-nucleotide long non-coding RNA. RefSeq lists it as uncharacterized. Lineage: Eukaryota; Metazoa; Chordata; Mammalia; Didelphimorphia; Didelphidae. The record is from RefSeq and is a predicted model, not a curated record.
GAGCUCUUGUAUCUACUGUAUGAAACAAUUGAAUUGACUUAUUCAAACAAGCAAGGUUCUAAGAAUCAACAGAUUAGCUGAAGGAAAACAACUCCAAAUCCCACACUGAAGCCAGCAUGAAAAAGUUCAUCCCAGGUCUGGAAUACUACAAAGCAGUAAUCAAAUGAUGUUCCAUCUAAGUUAUACAUGAGAUCUAUUAACUGAUCUCUAUUAUUAAAGCUAGAUUAUUUAUA